RNAcentral lists this ribosomal RNA (440 nucleotides) under uncultured bacterium. RNAcentral describes it as "partial 16S ribosomal RNA". It matches the Rfam family "Bacterial small subunit ribosomal RNA", at positions 338 to 795 of the family's 1533-position model. The record is from RNAcentral.
CCUACGGGGGGCAGCAGUGGGGAAUAUUGGACAAUGGGGGGAACCCUGAUCCAGCGACGCCGCGUGAGUGAAGAAGUAUUUCGGUAUGUAAAGCUCUAUCAGCAGGGAAGAAAAUGACGGUACCUGACUAAGAAGCCCUGGCUAACUACGUGCCAGCAGCCGCGGUAAGACGUAGGGGGCAAGCGUUAUCCGGAUUUACUGGGUGUAAAGGGAGCGUAGACGGUGCAGCAAGUCUGAUGUGAAAGGUCGGGGCCCAACCCCGGGACUGCAUUGGAAACUGUUGAACUGGAGUACAGGAGAGGGAGGCAGAAUUCCUGGUGUAGCGGUGAAAUGCGUAGAUAUUAGGAGGAACACCAGUGGCGAAGGCAGCUUACCAGGCGACUUCUGACGUUGAGGCACGAAAGCGUGGGGAGCAAACAGGAUUAGAUACCCUAGUAGUC